AGUGAACGCUGGCGGUAGGCCUAACACAUGCAAGUCGAACGGCAGCACAGUAAGCGCUUGCUCUUACGGGUGGCGAGUGGCGGACGGGUGAGGAAUACAUCGGAAUCUACUUUUUCGUGGGGGAUUACGUAGGGCAACUUACGCUAAUACAGCAUACGACCUACGGGUGAAAGCAGGGGAUCUUCGGACCUUGCGCGAUUGAAUGAGCCGAUGUCGCAUUAGCUAGUUGGCAGGGUAAAGGCCCACCAAGGCAACGAACCGUAGCUGGUCUGAGAGGAUGAUCGGCCACACUGGAACUGAGACACGGUCCAGACUCCUACGGGAGGCAGCAGUGGGGAAUAUUGGGCAAUGGGCGCAAGCCUGAUCCAGCCAUGCCGCGUGAGUGAUGAAGGCCUUCGGGUUGUAAAACCCUGUUAUUGGGAAAGAAAAGCAGCAGAUUAAUACCCCGCUGUUCUGACGGUACCCAAAGAAUAAGCACCGGCUAACUUCGUG
RNAcentral lists this ribosomal RNA (492 nucleotides) under uncultured bacterium. Its description in RNAcentral is "partial 16S ribosomal RNA". It matches the Rfam family "Bacterial small subunit ribosomal RNA", at positions 29 to 507 of the family's 1533-position model. The record is from RNAcentral.